UCCCAAGGUGCUGUGAGUAUCGAUGGCUAAAUGUGAAAAGCCACCAUUUACAAUGUCCUUACAUCCCGCAGAAGUUGAGCCGAAGCAGAAGCUGAUGAUGGUCGUGGUCAUUUUCCUUCUUUUCUUGUAUUUUUGGUGAAUGACAUGAUUGGGCUAAAUAGUUUCCUUGGGAACAAGUGUGCUUUCCUCGAUAGGUAAUUUCAAACACAGAAUGAUCUUCAUCUGAUCUCUGCACUUGCUUUAUUGCCCAACAAUUCUGUGUAUUGCGGAAAGUGCAUCUAUAGUAGCUUCUGCAAGUAUACAGCAAACAGGUAUUAGAUUUAUUGAUGUGAAACAGUAAUAAGAUUAUAAAUUAUAGUUCUACAAUAUAUUUUGAUAUGGAAAAUUGGAUUCUUGUAUUUUAUUUGGUUUGGUUUCAUGAUAAUUUUUUCUUUAUUUCUUUUAAGUUAGCUUUAAAGAAAGUGGACUUUGACUUUGAAUUUUUAGUUGCCGACAUUUCCUUAUGUCAAAUGGUAUUAGAAUAUAUGUUAAGUGUAUGGCUUGCAUGUUUUUCGAGCAGGAAGAAGAAGAAGAAGUUAUCUCACCUGGGAAAUGUUGCACCAAGUAUGUCCUUUUGGCCAUAUUUUCUCCAGCUAUAACCAUCCUCGUGGGGUCCUUCGAAUCCCGUCUCGGAGUUCACUUUCACUUGUUCUGUCCAUCUGGGCUGUGUCUUUCUGUAAUCACAGAAUCAUAAAGAUUUUUUUAUUUGUUUCCAAGAAUUAAACUUGUUUACUAACUAAGCUCAUAUUUGUUCUAAGGUUGACUUUGAAAAGCUAGAAAGAAAAUUCUUAAAUUCACCUCUUCUUUGAUUCUUUUCUGGGGUCCUGAGGGUCCUUGAGGCCUUUACCAGAGUCAUCACUAGAAAGACUUCCAUUAACAGAAAUUGGAGAGCCUGGCAAAGCAAAAGCUGCUUCUACCAUUUGAGAUGCUGAACACAACUCUGCUUUCAACUGCUUGGUAAGUCAAGAAGCAGAAGCUGGAGGAAAUGGAAGACCCAAAUGGUAAAGAAUCAGAGACAACAAACAUGGAAGUAGCCAGAUGAGGUAAUUUGGUUAACUGGGUAUAUUUGUGUUUAUUUAAAACUGAACUGAGAGGAGAAGAAAAAGAAGAAUGCUUUGGUUUUAAGAAGAACCGAUCUUGGUUUUAUACAAGUUCAAAAAGGAAGACAAUUUUAGUUCAUUUUUCUUCAAAGAAAAUGCUGUUGAACAGUUAGAAGUUGGGGAAACUUUGACUGAGACAGCCCCCUCAGUUGCUUUCUGGUCUUUGGUCAUUGGCUGAGUAGAGACUAAGAUUAGUGUGGAAGUCCAAGUUCUAAAGCUGACCAAGUCCACUUCCACUUCAUAAUUUAACUUCCAAAAGGGUUUCUGUUUCUCUCUCUAGAUCCUACGGCUGUGAUUUGUUGAGAAUGAAAAUUUCAUAAUUGAGAUAGUGAGACAAGUGGAAAGUCAGAGUUCAAGCUUGGAGAGUAGACUAAGAAUUUUCAAACCUUUCGUCCGCGUUGUGAGAAGGAUUUCCCGCGGGACUGCCGGUAGCAAAGGCGAAAAGACGAGAGUGGUCUAAGGGCCCCUUUAAAAAGAAAGGGGAGAGGUUGACCUUUCAGACAAUUUCAUAUUUAAUUUUUAGUUAGUAUCUUUUUGGUUAAUCACAUAUUUAAUUUAUGUGUCGGGUUCUUUAUCUUAUGCAUUCUUGACACGAGGGAUGAAAUUCUUAUUCUCAGGUAAAUUGACUUGUUGAUCUGGUACGUUAGAUCAAAGUUUGAAGUCUUUGAGUGUUUUAAAGGUAUUUUCAUCGUGUGUUAAAGUCUUUAAGCAUUUAAAGGAAAUUUUGGAAUUUAAAGACCUAGUCUUUAAGCAUUUAAAGGAAA
Cucurbita pepo subsp. pepo (vegetable marrow) is the source of this 1903-nucleotide non-coding RNA. Lineage: Eukaryota; Viridiplantae; Streptophyta; Magnoliopsida; Cucurbitales; Cucurbitaceae. The record is from RefSeq and is a predicted model, not a curated record.